RNAcentral lists this transfer RNA (71 nucleotides) under Marmota monax (woodchuck). RNAcentral describes it as "tRNA.Ala". It matches the Rfam family "tRNA". Rfam says of the family: Transfer RNA (tRNA) molecules are approximately 80 nucleotides in length. Their secondary structure includes four short double-helical elements and three loops (D, anti-codon, and T loops). Lineage: Eukaryota; Metazoa; Chordata; Mammalia; Rodentia; Sciuridae. The record is from RNAcentral.
GGGGUUGUGGCUCAGUGGUAGAGUGCUUGUCUCGCACACAUGAGGCACUGGGUUUGAUCCUCAGCACCACA